AUGAUGGAUCUUCUGUCCACCAGUGCCACAUUAAUUCCUAGAAAUAAAUUUAAAUCUUUUAAAGGUAGUGAUAUAUGUGAGUUGGUGAAGAAGUAUUACCCAGCAGAUUUUAGUCAACAAGACAUGUAUGGCUUGGAAAACCAACUAAAACUCUUUGUUCCUGAUGCUUCCAGUGAUGUAGAGUUGAAAAAUAUAUCAACAUUGACUCACCUUUGCCAACUCCUUGUUGAGACUGGAAGAGAUAGAAUCUACCAUCUAAUUGACAGGCUACUCCGUCUACUUGUUACUCUUCCAGUUUCUACAGCUAGUGCUGAACGAGCAUUUUCCAGUUUGAAGAUCAUCAAAACAAGGUUGUGUAAUACGAUGGAAGAUGAGAAUCUUGCCAAUAACUUGGUUGUUCACAUAGAGCGUGAAAUCGCAGAGAAAUACACGUUUGAGGACAUUUUAGCAGAAUUCAAGAGCAUAAGUGAUCGAAAAGCUGAUCUGUAG
RNAcentral lists this ribosomal RNA (489 nucleotides) under Triticum aestivum (bread wheat). RNAcentral describes it as "partial small subunit ribosomal RNA". Lineage: Eukaryota; Viridiplantae; Streptophyta; Magnoliopsida; Poales; Poaceae. The record is from RNAcentral.